GCCUUCGUGGUGUAACGGUAGCACACUCGGCGCGUAUUCGAGAGACCCUGGUUCAAGUCCCGGAGACGGCA
RNAcentral lists this transfer RNA (71 nucleotides) under Stegodyphus mimosarum. It matches the Rfam family "tRNA". Rfam says of the family: Transfer RNA (tRNA) molecules are approximately 80 nucleotides in length. Their secondary structure includes four short double-helical elements and three loops (D, anti-codon, and T loops). Lineage: Eukaryota; Metazoa; Arthropoda; Arachnida; Araneae; Eresidae. The record is from Rfam by way of RNAcentral.